AGAGUUUGAUCCUGGCUCAGGAUGAACGCUAGCGGCAGGCUUAACACAUGCAAGUCGAAGGGCAGCGAGGGGAGUGCUUGCACUCCCUGUCGGCGACUGGCGCACGGGUGAGUAACACGUAUGCAACCUGCCCUCCACAGGGGGACAACCUUCCGAAAGGGAGGCUAAUCCCGCGUAAAUCCCCCGGAGGCAUCUCCGGGGGAGGAAAACUCCGGUGGUGGAGGAUGGGCAUGCGGCGCAUUAGGCAGUCGGCGGGGUAACGGCCCACCGAACCGACGAUGCGUAGGGGUUCUGAGAGGAAGGUCCCCCACACUGGUACUGAGACACGGACCAGACUCCUACGGGAGGCAGCAGUGAGGAAUAUUGGUCAAUGGACGCGAGUCUGAACCAGCCAAGCCGCGUGAAGGAUUAAGGCCCUACGGGUCGUAAACUUCUUUUGUCAGGGAACAAAAGUGGGGACGUGUCCCCAUCUGCGUGUACCUGAAGAAAAAGCAUCGGCUAACUCCGUGCCAGCAGCCGCGGUAAUACGGAGGAUGCGAGCGUUAUCCGGAUUUAUUGGGCUUAAAGGGUGCGCAGGCGGUCUGUUAAGUCAGCGGUAAAAGCCCGGGGCUCAACCCCGGCGAGCCGUUGAAACUGGCGGACUAGAGAGGAAGAGAAGUAGGCGGAAUGCGCGGUGUAGCGGUGAAAUGCUUAGAUAUCGCGCAGAACUCCGAUUGCGAAGGCAGCCUACCGGCUUCUAUCUGACGCUCAGGCACGAAAGCGUGGGUAUCGCCCCAAAAGGGAGAUACCCCUGGUAGUCCACGCAGUAACGAUGAAAUGCCGGCUGUCCGGCCCGACUGGGGGCUGGGUGGCGAAGCGAAACGAAUAAGCAUUCCACCUGGGGAGUACGCCGGCAACGGUGAAACUCAAAGGAAUUGACGGGGACCCGCACAAGCGGUGGAGCAUGUGGUUUAAUUCGAAGCAACGCGAAGAACCUUACCAGGUCUUGACAUCCCUCUGACCGGUCCGUAACGGGACCUUUCCUUCGGGACAGAGGAGACAGGUGGUGCAUGGUUGUCGUCAGCUCGUGUCGUGAGAUGUUGGGUUAAGUCCCGCAACGAGCGCAACCCUUACCUUCAGUAGCCAGCGUGUGAAGUCGGGCACUCUGGAGGGACUGCCAGGGACAACCUGGAGGAAGGUGGGGAUGACGUCAAAUCAUCAUGCCCCUUAUGAUCUGGGCCACACACGUGCUACAAUGGCGUAAACAAAGGGAAGCGAGACAGUGAUGGUAAGCAAAUCCCAAAAAUAACGUCUCAGUUCGGAUUGUAGUCUGCAACUCGACUACAUGAAGCUGGAAUCGCUAGUAAUCGCGGAUCAGAAUGCCGCGGUGAAUACGUUCCCGGGUCUUGCACUCACCGCCCGUCAAG
Molecule: ribosomal RNA, 1406 nt
Filed under: uncultured bacterium
Lineage: Bacteria
Description: bacterial SSU rRNA
Rfam family: Bacterial small subunit ribosomal RNA
Source: RNAcentral